RNAcentral lists this ribosomal RNA (1315 nucleotides) under Lactiplantibacillus paraplantarum. RNAcentral's name for it is "bacterial SSU rRNA". It matches the Rfam family "Bacterial small subunit ribosomal RNA", at positions 62 to 1343 of the family's 1533-position model. Lineage: Bacteria; Bacillati; Bacillota; Bacilli; Lactobacillales; Lactobacillaceae. The record is from RNAcentral.
UCGAACGAACUCUGGUAUUGAUUGGUGCUUGCAUCAUGAUUUACAUUUGAGUGAGUGGCGAACUGGUGAGUAACACGUGGGAAACCUGCCCAGAAGCGGGGGAUAACACCUGGAAACAGAUGCUAAUACCGCAUAACAACUUGGACCGCAUGGUCCGAGUUUGAAAGAUGGCUUCGGCUAUCACUUUUGGAUGGUCCCGCGGCGUAUUAGCUAGAUGGUGGGGUAACGGCUCACCAUGGCAAUGAUACGUAGCCGACCUGAGAGGGUAAUCGGCCACAUUGGGACUGAGACACGGCCCAAACUCCUACGGGAGGCAGCAGUAGGGAAUCUUCCACAAUGGACGAAAGUCUGAUGGAGCAACGCCGCGUGAGUGAAGAAGGGUUUCGGCUCGUAAAACUCUGUUGUUAAAGAAGAACAUAUCUGAGAGUAACUGUUCAGGUAUUGACGGUAUUUAACCAGAAAGCCACGGCUAACUACGUGCCAGCAGCCGCGGUAAUACGUAGGUGGCAAGCGUUGUCCGGAUUUAUUGGGCGUAAAGCGAGCGCAGGCGGUUUUUUAAGUCUGAUGUGAAAGCCUUCGGCUCAACCGAAGAAGUGCAUCGGAAACUGGGAAACUUGAGUGCAGAAGAGGACAGUGGAACUCCAUGUGUAGCGGUGAAAUGCGUAGAUAUAUGGAAGAACACCAGUGGCGAAGGCGGCUGUCUGGUCUGUAACUGACGCUGAGGCUCGAAAGUAUGGGUAGCAAACAGGAUUAGAUACCCUGGUAGUCCAUACCGUAAACGAUGAAUGCUAAGUGUUGGAGGGUUUCCGCCCUUCAGUGCUGCAGCUAACGCAUUAAGCAUUCCGCCUGGGGAGUACGGCCGCAAGGCUGAAACUCAAAGGAAUUGACGGGGGCCCGCACAAGCGGUGGAGCAUGUGGUUUAAUUCGAAGCUACGCGAAGAACCUUACCAGGUCUUGACAUACUAUGCAAAUCUAAGAGAUUAGACGUUCCCUUCGGGGACAUGGAUACAGGUGGUGCAUGGUUGUCGUCAGCUCGUGUCGUGAGAUGUUGGGUUAAGUCCCGCAACGAGCGCAACCCUUAUUAUCAGUUGCCAGCAUUAAGUUGGGCACUCUGGUGAGACUGCCGGUGACAAACCGGAGGAAGGUGGGGAUGACGUCAAAUCAUCAUGCCCCUUAUGACCUGGGCUACACACGUGCUACAAUGGAUGGUACAACGAGUUGCGAACUCGCGAGAGUAAGCUAAUCUCUUAAAGCCAUUCUCAGUUCGGAUUGUAGGCUGCAACUCGCCUACAUGAAGUCGGAAUCGCUAAUAAUC